This 100-nucleotide non-coding RNA is filed under the name Bacillota bacterium. RNAcentral describes it as "Firmicutes bacterium Guanine sequence". It matches the Rfam family "Purine riboswitch aptamer". From Rfam's summary of the family: Riboswitches are metabolite binding domains within certain messenger RNAs that serve as precision sensors for their corresponding targets. Lineage: Bacteria; Bacillati; Bacillota. The record is from RNAcentral.
GCAAAAAAGACGAAUAUGGCUCAUAUAGUCCCGCAGCAACGGUGCGGGACGUUUCUACGGCGCCGCCGACGGCGCCACUAUGGGUGUUCUGACAGUGUGC